RNAcentral lists this ribosomal RNA (253 nucleotides) under uncultured bacterium. RNAcentral describes it as "partial 16S ribosomal RNA". It matches the Rfam family "Bacterial small subunit ribosomal RNA", at positions 524 to 776 of the family's 1533-position model. The record is from RNAcentral.
UACGGGGGGGGCAAGCGUUGUUCGGAAUCACUGGGCGUAAAGCGCACGUAGGCGGAUGUGUCAGUCAGGGGUGAAAUCCCGGGGCUCAACCUCGGAACUGCCUUUGAUACAGCACGUCUCGAGUCCGGAAGAGGUGGGUGGAAUUCCUAGUGUAGAGGUGAAAUUCGUAGAUAUUAGGAAGAACACCGGUGGCGAAGGCGGCCCACUGGUCCGGUACUGACGCUGAGGUGCGAAAGCGUGGGGAGCAAACAGG